This is a non-coding RNA of Physeter macrocephalus (sperm whale), 1745 nucleotides long. The record is from the annotation of a RefSeq genome assembly. Lineage: Eukaryota; Metazoa; Chordata; Mammalia; Artiodactyla; Physeteridae.
GGGCACGAACCUGCGUCCCCUGCAUCGGCAGGCGGACUCUCAACCCCUGCGCCACCAGGGAAGCCCUGCACUUAUUUUUAUUUUUAUUUUUUUUGCGGUACGCGGGCCUCUCACUGUUGUGGCCCCUCCCGUUGCGGAGUACAGGCUCCGGACGCGCAGGCUCAGCGGCCAUGGCUCACGGGCCCAGCCCCUCUGCGGCCUGUGGGAUCCUCCCGGACCGCGGCACGAACCCGUAUCCCCUGUAUCGGCAGGCGGACUCUCAACCACUGCGCCACCAGGGAAGCCCCAUUGCACUUAUUGAUUAUGGGCUAUGAUUGAAUUGACCCCUGAUUGACAUCCGGCCCCUCCCCUCACUGCAUCCUCAGAUUCCUUCUCCUUUCCGGGCGUCUGGCAUCUUCUGAUGGUGAAGUCUGGUCCCAAUUCCAGGAUUCCUAGCUCUUCUUGCCUGAAUAGCUGGGCUCCUUUCAGUGAAUGGCUCAGAAUCUCACCCCACAUGGUCCCUCCUGGAGAGGGGAGUGUCCUUGCUUCCAUUUCCUUCCAAACAGAGCUCAUUCUGGUGAUAUUUAUCACCUCCUUUAAUACAAAGUGACGCUAAAUGUCUGGACCAGAGUAGUGGCCCUUGGUGCAUCUAGAGAGAUGUGAAGGUUUAAAUGUAUUUUGAUCAUAGCAUGCUGCACAGACACACCCUGGACUCACCGCUGGAAUUGUGAGGGGUGCAGAUUGGGGAAGGCAGGAGUCCUGAGCAACAGCACCUGCCCAGGGUCGGCAUGUGUCCUGCAUCCACCAGAGGGCGCUGUGUCCUAUGCACCUGCUUGAUGCUCUCCAGUUUCUCAGCUGAGUCCCUCCCCUCUUGCAGGUGUUCCUGUGACCUCACUGGGGUGAAUAACACCUCCCUCCUACAGUCUCUCUUCUUAUCAGGUGGAGCCAAGGCUAAGGUUGAAGGAGGGAUUUGAACAACCUCCAGAAAGGGGAAUAUUUGCAUGGAGACCUCCUACCCUCAGGAUCAGGGUGACAUAUAAGAAGGGUUGGUGGGCUCAGGCCUGGCUGUGAGGCUCAGAAAGCAGAGCCUAGGGGUGUCUUCACCAUGGCCUGGGCUCCUCUCUUCCUCACUCUCUUCGCUCACUGCACAGGUGGAUGCCUGCAGGGAAUUCUGGGAGGGCUCCUGUUUGUCACCUGGGAGGAUGACCUCUCCCCGCUCCCUGGGAAUGGGAUCUGUCCUGUCCUCACUGGGUCUUGGGCAGAGGUUGUGUUGACUCAGCCCCGCUCUGUGUCGGGGUCUCUGGAGCAGAAGGUCACUAUCUCUUGCACCCGCAGCAGCGGUAACAUUGGGAGUUACUAUGUGCACUGGUACCAGCAGCGCCCGGGCAGUGCCCCCACCACCAUAAUCUACAAGGGUGACCAAAGACCCUCCGGAGUUCCCAUUCGUUUCUCUGGCUCCAUUGACACCUCCUCCAGUGCUGCCUACCUGACCAUCUCUGGGCUGCAGCCUGAGGACGAGGCCAACUACUACUGUCAGUCCAGUUAUGACAGCAACAAGGACACAGUGCUCCAGACCCACGGAAAAGUGAGAUCAAAAUUCCCCAGAGCCUCCCUGUUCUGGGUCUGCCCUUGACCCAUCCCCACUAGGGAGGGCUGAUUGUUUCCCUGUGUUCUUCUUGAAGGCUCAAGCUGGAAUUUUCAUGAGUUCCUCUCUUUUCUUUCCAAAAUAUAAUUUUUCCUCUCAUGUCUUGAUAGAUGAUCUCAUA